AUCUAGGCUCAUUGCGACCUCCACCUCCCAGGUUCAAGCGGUUCUCCUGCCUCAGCUUCCUGAGUAGCUGGAAUUGCAGGCACCCACCACUGCACCUGGCUAAUUUUUUGUAUUUUUAGUAGAGACGGGGUUUCAUCAUGUUGGCCAGGCUGGUCUCAAACUCCUGACCUCAGGUGAUCCACCCACCUCAGCCUCCCAAAGUGCAGGGAUUACAGGCAUGAGCCACCGCGCCCAGCCAUUGUGUUUUGUUCCUUGUGGGGAUGCACAUCCCUCUUCCAACCUGUGGCUACUGCUCUUGGGGUCCUGUUGCUGGGGGCCCUGCAGUAGACUCCACACAGGUCCUCCUGCCUCCUGGGCCCUCCUCAGAGCCUCCACAGGCUGCAGACUCCACUCCCCAGAUGGAGGUCUGAGCCCGGCACCCUUCCUGCAAACCACUACCUCACAAAAAAGACAAGAAUCCUACACCCCCAACCCAGACCCCUUCCUGGCAGGUCCUCAGGCUGGGCAUGGGCAGAGCAAAGACAGACUUGAGGAGGUAACCAGGGUGAAGGCAAACACUGGGCCAAAACCAGUGGGCAUCCUGAUGUGUGGAUUCCAAAGGGACCAGGCGAGCAGGGAGCAGUACUGAUGUCAGGGAGGCCGGAGGGAGACAGAGGAAGCCCGUAAUCAGGGAGCUUGGGAGCUGCCUGCUGGGCAGGGAGGAGCUGUGGACACCAAUCGGGCACUCUCAAGCCCUUCCCAGCCUGGCUGUCUCCCUCCUCUGGCCCUUCGGUGUUUCCCUUGGGAGUGGUGUGGGUCCCUACCUGGACUCAUCCUGAGGAAGCUGCCUCCUGGAGCAGGCAGGAUGCUGGAGCUCCGUGUGGCCGGCCCUGGUUCUCUGCGAAGCCGCUCCUGAGAGCCUGCCUAGUGCAGAAGUGCCCCGAGCUGGCUGCUCUUCCUGCCUAAAACGGGGCACUGAGCACAGGAGCCUCUGGAUCUGAUCCCCUGCCUGUUUUUGUACGGCUCUCAAGCUAGGAAUACCUUUUACAUUUUUAAAUGAUUGAAAAAAAAAUCCAAGUAAUCAUGGUGUUAAAAUGAUAUGAAAUUUGAAUUUCAGUGUCCAUAAAUCAAGUUGGGACACAGCUUCUCUCAUUCAUUUACAGUUGUCUAAGUUUCUGUCACUCUUCGGCAGCAGAGGUGAGCAGCCAAAACAGAGACUGCAUGGCCUGCAAAGCCUGAAAUAUUUACCGGCUGCUCUUUACAGAAAGAGUUGGCCGUUCACUACCCUGGAGUGUGGACCUCUGGGCGAGGAACCUGUAUCCGUAGCGCUGCCUUGCACGUCCAGGCUCACAGAUAUUCAUCCAAAAGAAAUAAAAAUAUAUGCCUAUAAAAGCCUUGCACAAGAAUGGACACAGAAGACUUAUUCAUUAAAGCUCCAAAGAGGAAACGGCCCAGGGGAAUAUCAACAGGCAAAUGAAGAAACAAAGUGUGAGGCAACCUCCCGUCACUCAACAGGUGGCUGAGGGACCCCCGCACCAGGGCAGCACCUGCUGGACUUGGGUUCACCAGCGAACGAGCAGGUCUGAUGCUCCUCUCAGGGUCUAAGCCGAAUCCAAGAAUCUGAUGAGUGUGAAGACACUGGAAGAACCUGAUCACGCAGGCUCCUUUCUCAAGCACCCCGAUGCCCGCAGGUGAAGGGGCACAUGCCAAGGACAAGCCCGCCUCAGCCCUGGACAUCGUUCAUCGCGCGAGUGAGCAAUGCUUGAGUGAGAAACCUGACAGCGGUGUCCCCAUAACUUCCACCGCCUCUGGAGCCACCCGGCAAAAGCCAGCGUCUGACAAUCCUUCAGUAAUAGUGAAGACACCUGUUAUAUUGCUGUCCAGCCAAAAGCUCCUUGUUGCAGGAUGAACAGCCCCAGUUGUUUCAAACAUGCCCCACAUCUCAUGGCCUCCACACAGGUCGUAUUAAACACCUCUAACAGAGACUGCACGCCAAGUGUGGCUCCUCAAAGACCUUGCCUGGGGACUCUGCCACUGAUGGCUGCGACCUGCACACUCCUGAGAGCUCCUUCCUGGAACUGCCUCAUUUCUCUCAUCAUCCUUGAUUUUUUGAGAUGGAGUCUCAGUCUUGCUCUGUCACCCAGGCUGGAGUGCAGUGGUGCGAUCUCUGCUCACUG
RNAcentral lists this long non-coding RNA (2156 nucleotides) under Homo sapiens (human). Its description in RNAcentral is "HSALNT0400330". The record is from RNAcentral. Lineage: Eukaryota; Metazoa; Chordata; Mammalia; Primates; Hominidae.